UUAAAUUACAGGUGGAAAUCCCGUACAUCUCA
RNAcentral lists this transfer RNA (32 nucleotides) under Myotragus balearicus (Balearic islands cave goat). RNAcentral's name for it is "partial tRNA-Asp". The record is from RNAcentral. Lineage: Eukaryota; Metazoa; Chordata; Mammalia; Artiodactyla; Bovidae.